AUGACGGAGAAAUCGCUCCAGCCUCCAGGGGCCAUCGCCGGAGCUCCGGCGAUCUUCCAGCGGCAAGCAAUGGCCGGAGCAGGAGAAGAUGACGACGAAGCAGCCGCUCCUCCUCCUCCCGCCUCCCCCUCACACUCUGGCGAGGCAACCCACCACUUGGACGAUGAGGCGGCGGAGCAGAGCACCAACCACGAGCCGUCCUUGCGGAUGGAGAACCUUCCUCGCCUGGGCAGCCAAAUGCCGAUAACGGAGUUCUUCAACUUACCCGCUGUUUGGAUAUUGUGCCCCGACUGGAGACGUUGCAUUUGGAUAUGGUAUAUCUGA
This 324-nucleotide ribosomal RNA is filed under the name Triticum aestivum (bread wheat). RNAcentral's name for it is "partial small subunit ribosomal RNA". Lineage: Eukaryota; Viridiplantae; Streptophyta; Magnoliopsida; Poales; Poaceae. The record is from RNAcentral.